This is a long non-coding RNA of Callithrix jacchus (white-tufted-ear marmoset), 8008 nucleotides long. RefSeq lists it as uncharacterized. NCBI's taxonomy places the organism in Eukaryota, Metazoa, Chordata, Mammalia, Primates, Cebidae. The record is from RefSeq and is a predicted model, not a curated record.
UUUUUUUUUGAGACAGAGUCUUGUCCUGUCUCCCAGGCUGGAAUGCAGUGGAUGAUCUCUGCUCACUGCAACCUCUGCCUCAUGGGUUCAAGCGAUUCUCAUGCCUCAGCUUCCCAAGUAGCUAGGAUUACAGGUGCCCACCUCCACACCCAGCUAGUUUUUAUAUUUUUAUUCAAUAUGGGGUUUCACCAUGUUGGUCAGGCUGGUCUCAAACUCUUGACCUCAAGAUCUGCCCACCUCAGCCUCCCAAAGUACUGGGAUUACAGGCAUGAACCACCAUGCCCAGCCCCCAUCUUAUCUUUAUAAUAAAAAGUUAAUUUUUAAAAAGUUAAAGGUAAAGCAAGAAAAAUAAAUCUUAAUGCUAAAGAGGAAGGAAAAAAGUAUCUACCUGUUCCUGGAUCACUUUCAGACAGGUAGCUCUAAUACUGCUUAUCCAUUAAAGAUUUCUCAAACUUUGUUUUUAAAAAACAUUGAUUGACACCUUAUGCUCUACUAUAUGCUGGAUCUCGGUGAUUAAUAAGCCCUUUAGGAGCCCAAACUGUUAAGCACCUCUAGGAACUCCUCCUGAUACUACUGGAAAAACAUAAAAACUAAAUACCUCUUUUCAAAGUCAUUCCAGCAGGGAUUAUAUCCUGUAUGGCUUGCACACUGUGUUGAAGAGGGUGGACUUUAACCCUGAAGACAAUGUGAAACCACUGAAUAGUUUCUAUUUGAGAAGCAGUAGGAUUAGAUGUGUGUUUUGUAUCAUCUCUCUGGCUGCAACAUGGAUCACAUAUUGGAAUAACACAAAACCAGAGGCUGUAAGACCAGUCCAAGGCAGUUGGAGCUAUCUAGGUAAGAAAAGGAUUAGGGCUGGAACCAGGGAGGUGGUUUGGACAGAAAGGUAAGUAUACAAACUGGAGAUGUUUCAAGGGAGGCCAAAUAGAUGGGCCUUGAUGAAUUAGGGAUGUAAAGGAGAGAGAGGGAGCAGUCAGAAUGACUCCUAUUUCUAAUUAGGCAGAUGGGUGGGUGCUGAAGUAGUCACUGAAACCACAAAUAGGGAGAGAAUUGGGUUUGGAGAUGGGGGUGGAAAUGAGUUCAGAUUUGCAGAUGUUGAGUUUGAGGUCUCUGUGGAACAUCCUGGAGAAGAUGUACACCUGACAGCUGGAUAUACAAUCCCAAGCACAUAGCAGCCUCUCAGUUAAGUAUUUAUAAAAUGAAAGAAUAUCAGGAGAAGAAUUAUAGGAAGGGAGAUGUAUAGGGAGAGAGAAGGAAAAGAAGAGGUCUGCAGCUCAGGAGACAGAUCUAUGCUUGGGAUUUAAAUUUCAUUAUUCUACAGAUGGCACUUGAAGCACUGGACAUAGACGAGAUCGUGCAGGGAGAGUGUAGGGCAAGAAAAGAUGAGGGCUGAGGACAGAAACCCAGCACAGACAUUUGAAGGACAGGCAAAGAAAAAGUCUUUCAAAGAGACCAGGAAAGGGUGUCCAGAGAGAUAGAAGAGAUGCAGGGAAAAGGUGUUUGCCCAAGAACCAAUGGAGCAAGUUUCCUCUGGAGAAGGGAGUCAAGAGGAAAAGAGAAACACUUAACAUUUUUUGAACACCUACUUUAUGCCAGAAACUUUAUUUAACCUUUACCAUUUAAUUAUCCCCUAAUUCUAAGAAGUGUGCAUUAUUCCCAUUUUACAGAGGAGAACGUUAAGAUGCAAAGAUGUCCUGGCAGUCAGGUGAAACGAUUAGCCUAGGAAUGGUAGAAAAAUGGCUGUCCUUCUGAGGCAAGAGGGAAGGGGACAGAGAUAAAAGCAUGAAGGUAGAGAGGGGACAACUGAAGGUGUUCAUGUUUGAAGACCUAGUUUCUUUGUGCUCUCUUUCACAGCUCUACCUCAUACCUAGGACCCAAGGAAGGUACUGACAAAGCAGAAGCUGCCUUAAAGGAUGAGACACUCCCACCUUGUUGUCGCCUGUGACCAAUACAGAUUCUACAAGACCAGAGGAAGGUGGGAAUUACAGCUUUUCGCCCAGGUGGCCACACUGUCAGCUAAAAAUCAAGUGUCCUGUAACUACAGAAGAAAGAGGAAAAGUCCAGCAAUUUCCGUGAUGCUGAAAGAGGUGUGCAGACAGCUGUAGUACAAGACAAGAAUAAAAGUGUGACAAAGAGAUGCAUGCUUACUAAUUCUGUGACCACAGGUUAACCUGUGUCUGUUUCUCAUUUAUAAAGUGGGAUAAUAGCACCUACCUCAUAGAUUUACCAAAUGCCUAAGUUAUUACAUACAAAUGUUACAUAUGUACAUACAAGCUUAGGUACAGAAGGGUAAUGUAAAAAUAAGUUUUAUUGGCUCAAGCCUGUAAUCCCAGCACUUUGGGAGGCCGAGGCAGGCGGAUCACGAGGUCAAGAGAUUAAGACCAUCCUGGUCAACAUGGUGAAACCCCAUCUCUACUAAAAAUACAAAAAAAAAAUUAGCUGGGCAUAAUGGCGCAUGCCUGUAGUCCCAGCUACUCGGGAGGAGAAUUGCCUGAGGCAGGAGGCAGAGGUUGCGGUGAGCCAAGAUCGCGCCAUUGCACUCCAGCCUGGGUAACAAGAGCAAAAAACUCUGUCUCAAAAUAAAAAAAAAAUGUAUUUUCAAGUCCUUAGACUAGCCCCUGACUCUUAAUAAGUGCUAUAUAGACAUUUGUCAAAUAGAAAUAAGUGGAGGAAAAAUAAGCACAGGCUAAUGGGAGUAUAUACAUCAGUGGAGACAAUCUGAAAAAGGUGUUCUGAAGCAUGUGGACUAUCAGUUCUGUGGUGGCUAGGAUGACUGCCUUUCCUGUGCACCCCUAGCACCUAGUGUGGUGCCUGGCUCAAAGUAUUGGUUGCUGAAUAGGCUUCAUGUCAGAACUAUUUUGUUAGGUGAAAUGGAGGCAGGAAAGAUUUUAGGUGGAAUUAACCAUAUGAACAAAGACAUAAAGGGUGAACCUGUCAUGGUACUUAAUGUGCAUGGAACUCAGUAUAUGUCGAUUGAAUGAAUGCUCAGAUUGAGUAGUUUGGUUUGGCUGAAAUGUAUCAGUUAGGUUCAGACAGAAAAGCACAUCACUCUAGAGAAUUUAAUACAGGGAAUUUUGUUCCACAGGGGACAGAAAUGCUGAAAGUGUUGGCAACUCAGAUACUGCAACAGUAGGAAGCCUGUCACCCCUAGUGCCAGAGGGACAAUGGGAGAUGGUGUUACCAGAACCUGGAAGCCCGAGUCAUCUGGCUGGUGGGGGCUUGGACCAUGGUGGGGCCGCAGACCAAACCAAGGCAGAGGAGAGAAAUACCUGGUUUCUUUCCUUCUUUUGCCCGUAGAUCUUUUGUCAGUGUCGUACUGGAAAGCCAGUUGGCAAGGGAAUCUGGAAAAUGUAGUUUCCUGAAAUCCAGACACUCCAGAGCAGAGCAGAGAAAGGGCUAUGAAAAGAGCUGAGAGAGAAAUAGGCAAAUAACUAGCACAAGUGAAGUUCAGGUCAUGAGCAGGGAAGCAGGGAAUGGUGGUGUGUCAUUUUGUGGAGGGGCUUGAAUGUCAGGUCUUGAAUGUAGGGCUUUCUGUUUCAUUGGGCAGAAGUGAGUUAUAGAAGAUAAAAAGCAGUAUGGCCUCAUUAAAACUGUUUAAUGGGGAAGCUGGGGGAGAAAAGGGAAACAGUAGCUUCCCUUUGAAUACUUGUUACUUGCUAGGCAUGGUGCUAAUUUUUAUUUAAUCAUCUCAGAAAGAUGAUGUGCCUGUUUCUAGAUAUGUUAAAUUUGAGAUAACUUCCUAAUAAUACUUCAUAUGGGUAAUUUGCAGUUAAUCUGAAAUGUGAGUCUACAACAGAGGGUGGGGGAUAGUGAUGUAAGGACAGAGACUCUGGGGUCUUCUGAAGAGGUGAGAGCAGAAGUUGAAGGAGAGGGAGGACAAGAUACUCAAGUCAAACAGUAUAGAAAAAGCAGAUGAGGGCGGGCGUUAGGGAAACCAGUAAGUGGUGGCUAGAGUAAGAAAAUAAAGAGCAGGUAAGAGAAGCAGAAAAGCUGAUCUUGCAGAAGCAGAGAAGCUCAAGCUGCAAGAAGAGGGGAAGAUCAGUAGUGUCAAAUGACAUUGCCUGGUUAGAAGUGAUGAAGACUGAGGGAAAAAAACUGACUAUAGCAGUAAGGAGGUAGGAAGGAACAGUUUCUCUAUACUGGUGGGGCCAUGAGGAGCUAAGGCAGUCUUCAUCAGAUGGCCGUGGCUAAUUUAGUGAAGAAGUAAGUAGUUUGCUAAGGCUAGGCGUGAAAGUUGGGUUCUGGGAGAAUGGAAGUGUCCGGUAUCUCCUGUGUGCUUUUAGGGUAUAGAGGCUGCACUAGCUGCACUGCUGUACCCAGUGCUUAUAUAAUGCACAGGGCUCAAUUAUUUGUUAGCUGACUUGCAGGAUGAAUGAAUUUGGCAGAAAGUAUUUAAAGUUGAAUAAAUGGAUUGUGGAGUAGCAGUGAAAACCCAGCGGAGGGUCAAUCCUUUCCUGAAUCUCAAUAAUAUGACUGAUAAUAGUGUUUUCCUUGACUGAGAUUGGUAGGUGAAGAGUAACAGAAACCACAAAAGACUAUUAAGAAUAAAGAGACUAGUGGGGCAUACAGACUUUUUGAAAUAUUUGAUGAAUCAGGUCCAGAUUUGUUAGGGAGAAAAUGUAUCCUCAUGGGGAUAGAGGAUUCAGAGAAUGAAUGGCUGAAAGGCUUGAAAUCAUUUCACAAUGUUUAGCGGAUGAGACCCAGGCAUCAGAAUUUUGAAAUCAUCAUAGGUAAUUCCAAAGUGCAGCCAAGGCUAAAUUGGAGAGAACUGAAGGGAAGGCUAACAGGAUAAUAGAUUUGGGUAGUCUAAGAAUCUUGACACUGAUUCUCAAAUGAGUCUAAGGCCAUGAUGGUGACUCAUUAAAGUGAACUGGAAAUGAGGGUAACUGGAAUUGAUAAAAUUGAGCUUGAGGAAUUAUAGGGCCAUCUUGAUUUGAAGGUAUAUCUUGUAUCUCCUCCUAGGAAUUCUCUUUGCACAAACUUACGUAAUCUUAGGUUUCCUAGUUCAUUUUGACAUGUCUCAUUUCUUUGGUAGAGCACUGAUCUGCUUAUCAUAUUUAAUUAUAGGUCAUGGUAUUGACCCUACUUCUUGGAAGCAUUUCUUCACUUUAAAAACUAUGUGACAAUUAGGAGAACUGCACUUUACAUUUUAAUUAGACAGAUGCUUGGGGAAUUGGUUAAUUAGAAAGCCCAUUUUGUUUUAACCCUUACUGAAAACUUUCAAUAAAGAUAUUAAUCUAACUAAAUAGCAAGUACAUAUUCUAUUAAGUAAAUAACUGGAUGUUUUUCAGUGGUUUGGGAUCUACUGUGGGUAAUUAUUCUGAACGAUAGUUGUCACUAUCUGAAAGACUGAAUACCUGGUACAUAUCUCAGAAAUGUUAACUUUUUCCCCCAUUAUAUUUUAACUUGCUGCUUCCAAGAAUGGAAUCAUAUUAAUCUGUACCUGUUUCUAAGGACAUUUUCCCAGUUUUCAGUAACAGGAAUAUUGAUGUUUCUCUAGAGCAGCUGGUUUAUCAUACAGCAGAACACUGAACACAAAACUGACUGUGUUAGAACCUAGCCAGAGCCCACCUUUAUCAAUUGUAGUCUUAACAGCAUCUACUUUGUUUUAAAAACAUUUUGGGCCAGGCAUGGUGGCUCACACCUGUAAUCCCAGCACUUUGGGAGGCCGAGGCAGGUGGAUCAUCUGAGGUCAGGAGUUCAAGACCAGCUGGCCAACAUGGUGAAACCCUGUUUCUACUAAUAGAAAAAUCAGCCAGGGGUGGUGGCAGGCAGCUGUAAUCCCAACUACUCGGGAGUCAGGAGAAUUGCUUGAACCCGGGAGGCGAAGGCUGCAGUGAGCUGAGAAUGUGCCACUGCACUCCAGCCUGGGCGACAAAGCAACAGUCUCAAAAAAAGAGGCAUUUUGGAGCCAGAUGGUGUAUAAAUAUAGCAUUCUUUUAGAAACCUUUCCCAAGGCAUGUAAUCGUUAGAUUCACCAGGGUUGAAAUGAAGGAGAAAAUACUAAGGGCAGCCAGAGAAAAAGGUCAGGUUACCCACAAAGGGAAGCCUGUCAGACUGACUCACAGCAGCUCUCUCAGCAAAAACCUUACAGGCCAGAAGAGAUUGGGGGCCAAUAUUCAACAUCCUUAAAGAACUUUCAACCCAGAAUUUCAUAUCCAGCCAAACUGGGUGGUGGCAGGCAAACUGGAUAUGAAAUUCAUAUCCUAAGCUUCAUAAGCAAAGGAAAAAUAAAUUUUUUUGCGAACAAGCAAGUACUCAGAGAUUUCAUCACCACCAGGCCUGCUUUACAAGAGCUUCUGAAAGAAGGUAACAUAGAAAGGAACAGCUAGUAUCAGCCAUUCCAAAAACAUACCAAAAGGUAAAGAGCAUCACCAUAAUGAAGAAUUUACAUAAAACUAAUGGGCAAAACAGCCAGCCAGCAUUAAAAUGGCAGUAUUAAACUCAACUAUAUCAAUAUCAAUCCCAAAUUUAAAUGGACUAAAUGCCUCAAUAAAAGACACAGACAGGUAAAUUGGAUAAAAAGCCAAAACCCAUUGGUAUGCUGCAUCCAGACCCAUCUCAUAUGCAAGGAUACACAAAGACUCAAAACAAAAAAAGGAUGGAAGAAGAUUUACCAACCAGAGAGGGGGAAAAAAAAAAAAAAAAAAAAAAAGCAGGAAUUGCAAUUCUCGUCUCUGAUAAAAAAUAGACAUUAAAGCAACAAAGAUCAAAAGUGACAAAGUAGGACAUUACACAAUGGUAAAAAGGAUCAAUGCAACAAGAAGAGCUAACGAUCCUAAAUACAUACGUACCCAAUACAGGGGCACCCAGAUACAUAAGGCAAGUUCUUAAUGACUUACAAAGAGACUUAGUCUCCCACAUAAUAAUAGUGGGAGACUUUAACACUACAUUGUCAAUAUUAGAUCAACAAGACAGAAAAUUAACAAGGAUAUCCAGGACUUGAACUCAGACCUGAAAUAAGUAAACUUAAUAAACAUUUACAGAACUCUCCACCCCAAAUCCACAAAACAUACAUUCUUAUCAGUAUCACAUCACACCUACUCUAAAAGUGACUACAUAAUUGAAAGUAAAUCACUCCUCAGCAAUUGCAUAGCACUACACAGGUUUAAAUGAAAUAUUGGUUGGCUGCUUGUUUGCUAUUUUCCUCCUUUAUUCCUUCCUGUCUCCAUUGUUAAGCACAUUUAUUGGCAUAAAAGAGGUUUUUAAUACCCAUUUUUAGACUGCAUUCUAGCCUGGGCAUUAGAGCAAGAUUCCUGUUUCUCUCUCCCUCUUUUAUUUUUUUUCUUUCUCUUUUUCUUCCUUUUUCUCUUUAAAAAAAAAAAAAAAAGAAAGAAAGAUUUUCCAGUGCAUAGAGGUACUUGGAAAAACUUUUCCUUUCGUUGCAUUUGUGGAAGUUAGUUUUCUGGCCUGUGGCCUUUAAUUUUCUUAGCCAACCUAAGUACAUCAGGAUAGAGGUAGAGUUUCUGUAAAAGAAGAGACAUUAAGAGUUCCUGAAAUUUAUAUCGGGCAUAUGGAUAGGCUUAUAUUCAAAACAUCUUACUCAAAAAAAAAAAAAAGAAAAGAAAAAGAAAUCUUUCAAGAUCUUUCUCGGGUAUCUUGAAGGUCUCUUUCACCAGCACACCUGACUGUGGCAGCCCUUUGUACUCUUUACACUUCUCUGGUAUAUCUUAAGCCUUCAAAUAGUUCCAGUUGGCUGGGCAUGACGGCUCACACCUGUAAUCCCAGCACUUUGGGAGGCUGAGGCAGGUGGAUCACUUGAGGUAAGGAUGGCAAAACCCCAUCUCUGCUAAAAAUAUAAAAAUUAGUUGGGCACUGUGGCAUGUCCAGUAGUCCCAGCUACUUGGGAAGCUGAGGCAUGAUAAUCGCUUGAACUUGGGAGGCCAAGGUUGCAGUGAGCUGAGACGAAGCCACUGCACUCCAGCCUGGGUGAUGGAGUGAGACUGUCUCAAAAAAAAAAAAAAAAAAAUUCCAGUAGGUGAACUGAGUUUAGUGACACAGGUCAAAUUCA